RNAcentral lists this ribosomal RNA (405 nucleotides) under uncultured bacterium. Its description in RNAcentral is "partial 16S ribosomal RNA". It matches the Rfam family "Bacterial small subunit ribosomal RNA", at positions 30 to 526 of the family's 1533-position model. The record is from RNAcentral.
AUUGAACGCUAGCGGGAUGCUUUACACAUGCAAGUCGAACGAGUGGCGGACGGGUGAGUAUUAUAUCGGAACGUGCCCAUUAGCGGGGGUUAACUACUCGAAAGAGUUGCUAAUACCGCCUACUAUUGCAUCGGCCGAUAUCGGAUUAGCUAGUUGGUGGGGUAAAGGCUCACAAAGGCAACGAUCCGUAGCUGGUUUGAGAGGACGACCAGCCACACUGGGACUGAGACACGGGCCAGACUCCUACGUGAGGCAGCAGUGGGGAAUUUUGGACAAUGGGGGAAACCCUGAGCCAGCCAUCCCGCGUGUAUGAGAAGGCCUUCGGGUUGUAAAGUACUUUAGGCGGAGAAGCGGUAUCUGCAGAAUAAGCACCGGCUAACUACGUGCCAGCAGCCGCGGUAAUUC